Molecule: ribosomal RNA, 253 nt
Filed under: uncultured bacterium
Lineage: Bacteria
Description: partial 16S ribosomal RNA
Rfam family: Bacterial small subunit ribosomal RNA
Source: RNAcentral
UACGGGGGGGGCAAGCGUUGUCCGGAAUUAUUGGGCGUAAAGAGCGUGUAGGCGGCCAGAUAAGUCCGCUGUGAAAUCUCGAGGCUCAACUUCGAGCUGUCGGUGGAAACUAUCUGGCUAGAGUCCGGAAGAGGAGAAUGGAAUUCCUGGUGUAGCGGUGAAAUACGUAGAGAUUGGGAAGAACACCGGUGGCGAAGGCGGCUAUCUGGACGGUUUCUGACGCUAAGACGCGAAAGCGUGGGGAGCAAACAGG